ACACCGGCGGCCCGAGUGGUGAUCGUGAUUAUUGGGUCUAAAGGGUCCGUAGCCGGUUUGGUCAGUCCUCCGGGAAAUCUGAUAGCUCAACUAUUAGGCUUUCGGGGGAUACUGCCAGACUUGGAACCGGGAGAGGUAAGAGGUACUACAGGGGUAGGAGUGAAAUCUUGUAAUCCCUGUGGGACCACCUGUGGCGAAGGCGUCUUACCAGAACGGGUUCGACGGUGAGGGACGAAAGCUGGGGGCACGAACCGGAUUAGAUACCCGGGUAGUCCCAGCCGUAAACGAUGCUCGCUAGGUGUCAGGCAUGGCGCGACCGUGUCUGGUGCCGCAGGGAAGCCGUGAAGCGAGCCACCUGGGAAGUACGGCCGCAAGGCUGAAACUUAAAGGAAUUGGCGGGG
RNAcentral lists this ribosomal RNA (401 nucleotides) under uncultured bacterium. RNAcentral's name for it is "partial 16S ribosomal RNA". It matches the Rfam family "Archaeal small subunit ribosomal RNA", at positions 473 to 873 of the family's 1478-position model. The record is from RNAcentral.